This 459-nucleotide ribosomal RNA is filed under the name uncultured bacterium. RNAcentral describes it as "partial 16S ribosomal RNA". It matches the Rfam family "Bacterial small subunit ribosomal RNA", at positions 339 to 795 of the family's 1533-position model. The record is from RNAcentral.
CUACGGGUGGCUGCAGUAAGGAAUAUUGCGCAAUGGAGGCAACUCUGACGCAGCCAUGCCGCGUGCAGGAAGAAGGCCUUAUGGGUCGUAAACUGCUUUUAUUUAGGAAUAAACCCCCGAACGUGUUCGGGGCUGAAGGUACUAAACGAAUAAGCACCGGCUAACUCCGUGCCAGCAGCCGCGGGUAAUACGGAGGGUGCAAGCGUUAUCCGAUUUAUUGGGUUUAAAGGGUGCGCAGGCGGGCUAUUAAGUCAGUGGUGAAAUCCCGGGGCUCAACUCCGGAACUGCCAUUGAUACUGAUAGUCUUGAGUUUGGUUGAAGUGGGCGGAAUGUAGCAUGUAGCGGUGAAAUGCAUAGAUAUGCUACAGAACACCAAUCGCGAAGGCAGCUCACUAAGCCAAAACUGACGCUCAUGCACGAAAGCGUGGGGAUCAAACAGGAUUAGAUACCCGCGUAGUC